UUUAUCGCAAUGGAGGAGAACAAUGAUGUCUAUUCACGCUGGUGCAAGUUCCAUCCUCACCAAUUGAUAUCCUCUCACUAGCAUUUAACAAUUUAACCACUAACACUCAUUUGUCCAAAAAAAUAAAAAAAUUUGUAAUGAACGUGCAUGUGGGGACACUUAAGUUGAUAAAAAUUGAUAAAUUAAGAUCACAUUGCUAAUUAAGAUUGUUAGAAAUAAAAUAUGGAGUAAGAGAGAAUGAAGAUAGACAAGAGUCUUUCUUUCUCAUUAGAGUGCAUAUUUAUAGACCUAGGAUUUACAUAGAAAAAGGUAUAACUCCCAAAAGUUAGUCAUAUAUAAUAAAUCAUAUUUACCACACUUUUCUUUGGAAGUUCACCAAUUAAUGUAGUUGCCUUGAUAAAAUCUUGCUUGGAAAAUCCAGUGGGACAAAACCUAAGCGAAGGAGAAAAAUCAAGCGCAAUGUUUUAUGAAAUAUUAUUAACGUGUUGGACACGAAUAAUGAUAUAGCAUAAGACUCCCCCUAACGAAUAACUCUCUUUGGUGAAUAAUUCCCCUUGAAAAUAGUAAGCCUUGAUUCGAAUGUCGUCAUUGUUGAGUCUGAUAUUGACAAACAUUCAUUUUCAACAAUUGAACUUUAGUAAAGCUUGUCCUCGGGAAGUAUUAGAGUUUAUCAGGAGUUGACAAUAGCCAUUUGUAUUCCUGCAUAGAGUAAAUAAAUACAAAAUCUAGGAUUCGAAACAAUCUAGGAGCAACUUUACUCCAUCGCGAAUAUAAGCCAUAUAUACAAAUAGUCUGAUAGGCUAUUAGUAGUUCUACAAAAAUGUGAACGCUUUCAAGAGUAUGUUGCAGCAAUAUGUAAAUUUGGUUCGAAGUAACAAUUACAUAAAUUUAUGUAGAAUAAGUAUAGAGUACAUACUUUGAGCAUCAUGCUCUUAAAUUAAAAUCUUUGAUAAAUAAUUUUCUGGCAUGUUCUAUACUUUAAUAAAUCGCUUUGAGAGCUUUGAACACAUGUCAUAGGUUUCACGUUUAAAGAAACACUGUAUUUAUAUGUGGGUCUUGUUGGAAAUUAUAUAUAUUAUAAUAUGAAAUAUUGUAAUGUAUAAUUUUAAUAAUUGAAUGAAAAAUAGUGUUAAUCAAUUUCUUAGAAAGGUUAUGUUGUUUAGGUGUAUUCUCUUGAUAAGUGAUGUAUACUUAUAGAUGAAAAGUUACAUCUCAUUAACAAGAAGUGCUUUGACUUCGGAUUAUAGAUUGUUGAAUCAUGGAAGAUGGACGCCUAUCAAACUACAAGCACAAGAGUAUGGCCGAAAUUCUAUCUUUAGGAUAUUGCAUUUAUGCAAGCCUCAAUCUCCAAGUUUGUCAGUUUUUCUAUCUUUAUCUCUAGUUGUUUAUAUUAAUCUCAUAUAUAAUUGAUGUUAUGAAUUUCUUUAUGAUUAUUAUCAUUGGAAUUAUAUUGUUAUUUUUCAUGUUUUCUAAUAUUGUUCCAACAGCUCUAUCUACAAUGAGAGGAUAUAAAUGUCAUAAUAGUGAUUUAAUUUCACUUCAUUACAAAUACCUCAGAAUAAUAACAUUUAGGGUUAAUACUGUAGGUUCACUUAUUUCAUGUUUUUCAAUGGCUCUCGAAAGUAGUAU
This 1629-nucleotide long non-coding RNA is filed under the name Malus domestica (apple). RNAcentral's name for it is "long non-coding RNA (MDOM_LNC010147)". Lineage: Eukaryota; Viridiplantae; Streptophyta; Magnoliopsida; Rosales; Rosaceae. The record is from RNAcentral.